Molecule: ribosomal RNA, 440 nt
Filed under: uncultured Alphaproteobacteria bacterium
Lineage: Bacteria; Pseudomonadati; Pseudomonadota; Alphaproteobacteria
Description: bacterial SSU rRNA
Rfam family: Bacterial small subunit ribosomal RNA
Source: RNAcentral
CCUACGGGUGGCUGCAGUGGGGAAUAUUGGACAAUGGGCGAAAGCCUGAUCCAGCAAUGCCGCGUGAGUGAAGAAGGCCCUAGGGUUGUAAAACUCUUUCGCUAGUGAAGAUGAUGACUGUAACUAGAGAAGAAGCUCCGGCUAACUUCGUGCCAGCAGCCGCGGUAAUACGAAGGGAGCUAGCGUUGUUCGGAAUUACUGGGCGUAAAGCGCACGUAGGCGGAUCAGAUAGUCAGAGGUGAAAGCCCCGAGCUCAACUUGGGAAUUGCCUUUGAUACUUCUGGUCUUGAGUCCGAGAGAGGGUAGUGGAAUUCCAAGUGUAGAGGUGAAAUUCGUAGAUAUUUGGAAGAACACCAGUGGCGAAGGCGGCUACCUGGCUCGGUACUGACGCUGAGGUGCGAAAGCGUGGGGAGCAAACAGGAUUAGAUACCCUAGUAGUC